This 211-nucleotide ribosomal RNA is filed under the name uncultured bacterium. Its description in RNAcentral is "partial 16S ribosomal RNA". It matches the Rfam family "Bacterial small subunit ribosomal RNA", at positions 1290 to 1500 of the family's 1533-position model. The record is from RNAcentral.
AGUUCAGAUUGCAGGCUGCAACUCGCCUGCAUGAAGUUGGAAUUGCUAGUAAUGGCAGGUCAGCAUACUGCCGUGAAUACGUUCCCGGGCCUUGUACACACCGCCCGUCACACCAUGAGAGUUGGGAAUACCCGAAGCCUGUGAGCUAACUGUAGAGAGGCAGCAGUCGAAGGUAGAAUCAAUGAUUGGGGUGAAGUCGUAACAAGGUAUC